This 253-nucleotide ribosomal RNA is filed under the name uncultured microorganism. RNAcentral's name for it is "partial small subunit ribosomal RNA". It matches the Rfam family "Bacterial small subunit ribosomal RNA", at positions 524 to 776 of the family's 1533-position model. The record is from RNAcentral.
CACGUAUGGGGCGAGCGUUGUUCGGAAUUACUGGGCAUAAAGGGCGUGUAGGCGGUUUCGCAAGCCUGGCGUGAAAGGUGCCGGCUCAACCGGUAGAGUGCGCUGGGAACUGCGGGACUGGAGUCUUGGAGGGGGAGCUGGAAUUCCAGGUGUAGGGGUAAAAUCUGUAGAGAUCUGGAAGAACACCGGUGGCGAAGGCGAGCUCCUGGCCGAUGACUGACGCUGAGGCGCGAAAGCGUGGGGAGCAAACAGG